RNAcentral lists this ribosomal RNA (447 nucleotides) under uncultured bacterium. Its description in RNAcentral is "bacterial SSU rRNA". It matches the Rfam family "Bacterial small subunit ribosomal RNA", at positions 335 to 799 of the family's 1533-position model. The record is from RNAcentral.
ACUCCUACGGGAGGCAGCAGUGGGGAAUCUUGGACAAUGGGGGCAACCCUGAUCCAGCCAUGCCGCGUGAGUGAUGAAGGCCUUAGGGUCGUAAAGCUCUUUCGCCUGUGAAGAUAAUGACGGUAGCAGGUAAAGAAACCCCGGCUAACUCCGUGCCAGCAGCCGCGGUAAUACGGAGGGGUUAGCGUUGUUCGGAAUUACUGGGGCGUAAAGCGCACGUAGGCGGAUCGGAAAGUUGGGGUGAAAUCCCGGGGCUCAACCCCGGAACUGCCUCCAAAACUAUCGGUCUAGAGUUCGAGAGAGGUGAGUGGAAUUCCGAGUGUAGAGGUGAAAUUCGUAGAUAUUCGGAGGAACACCAGUGGCGAAGGCGGCUCACUGGCUCGAUACUGACGCUGAGGUGCGAAAGUGUGGGGAGCAAACAGGAUUAGAUACCCUGGUAGGACAGUG